Molecule: ribosomal RNA, 606 nt
Filed under: Bacillus sp. PSu4_36
Lineage: Bacteria; Bacillati; Bacillota; Bacilli; Caryophanales; Bacillaceae
Description: bacterial SSU rRNA
Rfam family: Bacterial small subunit ribosomal RNA
Source: RNAcentral
GUCGAGCGGACCGACGGGAGCUUGCUCCCUUAGGUCAGCGGCGGACGGGUGAGUAACACGUGGGUAACCUGCCUGUAAGACUGGGAUAACUCCGGGAAACCGGGGCUAAUACCGGAUGCUUGAUUGAACCGCAUGGUUCAAUUAUAAAAGGUGGCUUCGGCUACCACUUACAGAUGGACCCGCGGCGCAUUAACUAGUUGGUGAGGUAACGGCUCACCAAGGCAACGAUGCGUAGCCGACCUGAGAGGGUGAUCGGCCACACUGGGACUGAAACACGGCCCAGACUCCUACGGGAGGCAGCAGUAGGGAAUCUUCCGCAAUGGACGAAAGUCUGACGGAACAACGCCGCGUGAGUGAUGAAGGUUUUCGGAUCGUAAAACUCUGUUGUUAGGGAAGAACAAGUACCGUUCGAAUAGGGCGGUACCUUGACGGUACCUAACCAGAAAGCCACGGCUAACUACGUGCCAGCAGCCGCGGUAAUACGUAUGUGGCAAGCGUUGUCCGGAAUUAUUGGGCGUAAAGCGCGCGCAGGCCGUUUCUUAAGUCUGAUGUGAAAGCCCCCGGCUCAACCGGGGAAGGUCAUUGGAAACUGGGGAACUUGAGUGC